RNAcentral lists this ribosomal RNA (426 nucleotides) under Triticum aestivum (bread wheat). RNAcentral describes it as "partial small subunit ribosomal RNA". The record is from RNAcentral. Lineage: Eukaryota; Viridiplantae; Streptophyta; Magnoliopsida; Poales; Poaceae.
AUGAUGCUUUUGCUUAAGGAGAGGCUCAAGAAGAUCAGGGAGCUCUGUAUCCGAGUUCCAGCCAUCCUCUACAGCAAGGAGCUCUCGGCCAAAGGAGCAAGCAGCGCUGCUAGUUCCUUGAGGCCAGAUCGAGUAAGAUGGCGCACCAUGGCGUGUGGUGGCGUAUUUUGCUUCCGAGAACAGUACUGUUUAUUUGAAGUGAGAUGUACUCGUCUAGUGCCUGGCAAAAAAAUGAAGGAUGAAGUGUCAUGUACUGUCUAUGUUGUAGUGAGCUAUAGUAGGAGUGAAAUGAAAAUGUAUCUGUUGUUGCAUGUGCUAUUUUGCUGUAAUGUAUUGUGUACAUUUUACUUGAACAUUAAAUUCUCCAAAAAAAUGUUCUUACUGGACCUGAUAGUGGCCACGGCCCAAAUAUACUUGUACUAUUAA